AUUGAACGCUGGCGGAAUGCUUUACACAUGCAAGUCGAACGGUAGAGGGGGCAACCCCUUGAGAGUGGCGAACGGGUGAGUAAUAUAUCGGAACGUGCCCAGUCGUGGGGGAUAACGUAGUGAAAAUUACGCUAAUACCGCAUACGAUCUAAGGAUGAAAGCGGGGGAUCGCAAGACCUCGCGCGACUGGAGCGGCCGAUAUCAGAUUAGGUAGUUGGUAGGGUAAAGGCCUACCAAGCCAACGAUCUGUAGCUGGUCUGAGAGGACGACCAGCCACACUGGAACUGAGACACGGUCCAGACUCCUACGGGAGGCAGCAGUGGGGAAUUUUGGACAAUGGGCGAAAGCCUGAUCCAGCCAUUCCGCGUGCAGGAUGAAGGCCCUCGGGUUGUAAACUGCUUUUGUACAGAACGAAAAGGUCUCUAUUAAUACUAGGGGCUCAUGACGGUACUGUAAGAAUAAGCACCGGCUAACUACGUGCCAGCAGCCGCGGUAAUACGUAGGGUGCAAGCGUUAAUCGGAAUUACUGGGCGUAAAGCGUGCGCAGGCGGUUAUAUAAGUCAGAUGUGAAAUCCCCGGGCUCAACCUGGGAACUGCAUUUGAGACUGUAUAGCUAGAGUACGGUAGAGGGGGAUGGAAUUCCGCGUGUAGCAGUGAAAGGGGUAGAUAUGCGGAGGAACACCGAUGGCGAAGGCA
This 696-nucleotide ribosomal RNA is filed under the name Pseudomonadota bacterium. RNAcentral describes it as "bacterial SSU rRNA". It matches the Rfam family "Bacterial small subunit ribosomal RNA", at positions 28 to 723 of the family's 1533-position model. The record is from RNAcentral. Lineage: Bacteria; Pseudomonadati; Pseudomonadota.